Homo sapiens (human) is the source of this 971-nucleotide long non-coding RNA. Ensembl annotates it as PRKG1 antisense RNA 1. Its record names the gene PRKG1-AS1. The record is from Ensembl. Lineage: Eukaryota; Metazoa; Chordata; Mammalia; Primates; Hominidae.
UCUUCACCCCGCCCCUCCCUUGCUUAGUCGCUCGGCUGGCCCGGCUCACCUUCGGGGUGAAGGCUACCAGCGAGCGUUAUAGCAGACGACUUUAAUAAAUGCAGGCGGCAGCAGGAACUCUGGGAACUUGGGUGCCCUUGCCUGGCAGUAAGGGUUGAAUUAUCCGGAUCUGAAAUACUUUACAGAGCCGAGGGGUGAUAGGCUCUGCAAAAGCACUUUUUGCCCCUCUCCUUUAUGCCAAUACUCGCUGACUGUGCACACAAGUCAUAUUCAGUAUUAAAUACAAACCGGUCUGUAAUUCAAUGGCUCUAGCAAGACGCCUCUGAGAGGGCCAGGUGGCGGGUGCAAGUUGCUCAUUAACCCUUUAGAGUCGCAGUUUGCAGAUCUGAGUUAGAUCCCCGGCUUUGAGGUCCUUCAGUUGCCCUCCUCCCCCACCUCCCCCCGCCACUGCGAGAAAAAUGUGCAAAGAGAAGGAAAUUUGCACAUCAAACGAGGGGCAAUCGCGGCGGUAGAUGAACUUGAUUAGGCAGACGCGUGAGAUCAAAGUGGCCGGGACCAAAGCGGACAGGGUCCAACGUGCCAGCACUGCCAAGAGAAGGCCUUUUGUACUCAGGUUAAAUAAGAACAUCCUGCAAGGAGUCUGUUCUUUUAUGCAGCCUAAAGAUCAAGUAAUAAUCAUUGACACUGAUACUGAGCAUGUCGAUUUUGAAGAGACUAGCAUUUCCUGGUAAUGAAGUGGAGUAUAUAUCCAUAUAUUUCUGUUUUCUGGAUGAGAAGACUAACCUAACUAAGUAGGAACCUUGAAGAAUCAUGUUCUUCCUAGGAAUUACAAAUCCCCCGAUUCCAUGUCUAACAUAAUUUCUACUGGCCUCUUUGCUUCUCAUGCUUUAGUACCAGUGCUUCUGAAUUUGAAAGUCUUCAUGCAAAUUGCCCAGCUGACAGGGCAGCCACUGUUGAGGAAAUGCUGAUCA